RNAcentral lists this ribosomal RNA (253 nucleotides) under uncultured bacterium. Its description in RNAcentral is "partial 16S ribosomal RNA". It matches the Rfam family "Bacterial small subunit ribosomal RNA", at positions 524 to 776 of the family's 1533-position model. The record is from RNAcentral.
UACGUAGGGUGCGAGCGUUAAUCGGAAUUACUGGGCGUAAAGCGUGCGCAGGCGGCUUUGCAAGACAGAUGUGAAAUCCCCGGGCUCAAACUGGGAACUGCAUUUGUGACUGCAAGGCUAGAGUACGGCAGAGGGGGAUGGAAUUCCGCGUGUAGCAGUGAAAUGCGUAGAUAUGCGGAGGAACACCAAUGGCGAAGGCAAUCCCCUGGGCCUGUACUGACGCUCAUGCACGAAAGCGUGGGGAGCAAACAGG